UGGGGAAUAUUGCACAAUGGGGGAAACCCUGAUGCAGCGACGCCGCGUGAACGAAGACGGUAUUCGUAUCGUAAAGUUCUGUCCUAUGGGAAGAUAAUGACAGUACCAUAGAAGAAAGCUCCGGCUAAAUACGUGCCAGCAGCCGCGGUAAUACGUAUGGAGCGAGCGUUGUCCGGAAUUAUUGGGCGUAAAGGGUACGCAGGCGGUUUAAUAAGUCGAAUGUUAAAGAUCGGGGCUCAACCCCGCAAAGCAUUGGAAACUGAUAAACUUGAGUAGUGGAGAGGAAAGUGGAAUUCCUAGUGUAGUGGUGAAAUACGUAGAUAUUAGGAGGAAUACCAGUAGCGAAGGCGACGUUCUGGACACAAACUGACGCUGAGGUAAGAAAGCGUGGGGAGCAAACAGG
Molecule: ribosomal RNA, 403 nt
Filed under: bacterium
Lineage: Bacteria
Description: partial 16S ribosomal RNA
Rfam family: Bacterial small subunit ribosomal RNA
Source: RNAcentral